GAGGGUGUAGCUCAGUGGUAGAGCGCGCGCUCAGCGCGCAUAAGGUCCUGGGUUUGAUCCCAGUACCUCCA
This 71-nucleotide transfer RNA is filed under the name Camelus bactrianus (Bactrian camel). It matches the Rfam family "tRNA". Rfam says of the family: Transfer RNA (tRNA) molecules are approximately 80 nucleotides in length. Their secondary structure includes four short double-helical elements and three loops (D, anti-codon, and T loops). Further hydrogen bonds mediate the characteristic L-shaped molecular structure. tRNAs have two regions of fundamental functional importance: the anti-codon, which is responsible for specific mRNA codon recognition, and the 3' end, to which the tRNAs corresponding amino acid is attached (by aminoacyl-tRNA synthetases). tRNAs cope with the degeneracy of the genetic code in two manners: having more than one tRNA (with a specific anti-codon) for a particular amino acid; and 'wobble' base-pairing, i.e. permitting non-standard base-pairing at the 3rd anti-codon position. Lineage: Eukaryota; Metazoa; Chordata; Mammalia; Artiodactyla; Camelidae. The record is from Rfam by way of RNAcentral. RNAcentral also lists the same sequence under 2 other names.